ACAAAGCUUUGCUAUUAGGAUGAAAGAGCUGAUGGAGGUAGGACAGAAUUUGCCGGGUGUCAGGGGGUAUCUGCGAGAAUGUGGGCUCUACUGUAUGAACCCCUUAAAGUGACUGAGGCUUAAUGAAAGAUAGUGAGAGGAGAUCAGAAGCUGAAGCCUGACCAAACAGGUGUGGGCUGCCCUGGAAUCCCUGGGGAACGACGGUCCAGAAGAGCUGUGUGGAGAGGCAAAACCAAGUUACAACAAAAAGAUGGAUCCCAGAAGUUGUAAGGAAACUUUGAAGGCAGUGCUGGAAAUUUACUUUAGAAGUACAACGUGUCACAACUCUCCCCUGAAAAGGUUCUACUGUGUCCAAUCUAUACACAGACUUUCCUGCGGAGCUGCUGUCACAGGAUCACACAAAUUCAGGGCUAAUAAUCAGUUGCGGCUACUUUAAAAGCUUGGGAAACCAGAAGUUUCGCCUAGUUCCGCUCAGAGUUACUAACAUGUUACAAUUCACUAUGUUCCUCUGAAACCAAAAGAAGUUGGAAAUCUAUAUCACCGGAUAAUCAAAAUUCCCUGUGAAACUUGGAAGAAAAGGAGGCAUGCCGCUGGCCACCGAGCUGUCAUCUUUUCAAAGGUUAACCCAGAUACCUGUUUAAAAGACUGUGGAGGUCAGGAUUCAGGGUUCUAUCUCUGCUCCACACCACCUCCCAUAGUAGUCCAACGCACAGAGGAAUGACCGGUGGAGACAGCAGGUACCCCGUCGCUCAAGUUCAAGCCUGGGAGCCAACAAGCCUUGGGACCGGCCCAGAAGCCCAGGGCGAGGGGCGGCACACGGCGGCGCGUUCCGCCCCAUCCAACCUUCUACACCAGCCCCAUACUGGGGACCGGGACUUAGGCGGAUGGUGCAGAGCAAGCCAGAGCCGCCCGGCUUACCUUGAGGACCGGCGUCAGGUACUCGGCCACUUCCAGAGCCUUUCCCUUCACCGUGUUGAUCACAUUCUGCAUCCUGGGGCUGGAGCAGCGAUGAGGCAGGGAGGGCGAUCCGGG
Non-coding RNA from Myodes glareolus (Bank vole), 1032 nucleotides. The record is from RefSeq and is a predicted model, not a curated record. Lineage: Eukaryota; Metazoa; Chordata; Mammalia; Rodentia; Cricetidae.